This 1176-nucleotide long non-coding RNA is filed under the name Homo sapiens (human). RNAcentral describes it as "HSALNT0305601". Lineage: Eukaryota; Metazoa; Chordata; Mammalia; Primates; Hominidae. The record is from RNAcentral.
GUGGAGUCAGUCUUUAAACCCAGAAGUCUGGCCUCUUUACUGUUGUAUUAUACCUGCCUCAGAAAACAGGCACACUAGAACUGAUGAUGAAGAUAUGCUCGUUUUUAUUCAGAGUUGUUUUCUGGGGUUGGGAAAGCACUUAUUUGAAGAAGGUUCUUUUGCUUUGUCAAGUUAGACACUUGGGAAUAUUUGCUAAGUAUCGUGUAGUCGUUUUCUAUUGCUGUGUAACAAAUUGCCCCAAAACUCAGGAGCUUAAAAUAACAAACAUUUGGCAUCUUGCAGUUUCCGUAGGUCAGUAAUCUAGGCACAGCUGAUCUCAGGGCGUCUGACUCAGGAUCUCUCACAAGAUGGCAAUCACAGCACUGGUGGGCACUGUGGUCUCAUGAGAGAGCUGGACUUGGGGCAGAUCCGCUUCCAAGCUCACUCAAGGUAUUGUGAGAGGCAUUCAGGUCCUCGUGUGCUGCUGGACUCAGAGGUUUGUGGAAGCGUUCGGGUCCUCACGUGCUGCUGGACGGAGGGCCUCAGUCCCUCAGUGGCUGUUGACCAAAGGCCUCGCUUAGUUCCUUACCGUGUGGACUUCUCCAAGGGCAGCUCACACAUGGGGAUUGGCCUCUAUCAAAGCGGGUAAGAGGGAAAGAUUGGGGGCAUGCCCCUAGAUAAAGCCACAGUCUUUGUAACCUAAACCUAAUCUCAGCAAUGACACCUUAUAAUUUCUGUCAUGUGUUAUGAAUUAGAGGCAAGUCAGUAAGUCCAGUUCAAACCUAAAGGAAAGGGAGUGCACGAGGAUGUGAGUUCUGGGAGGUGAGGCUCUCUGGGGCCAUCUUGGAGGCUGCCGACUACAGUGUGAACUCUUAUUUUAUUCAGAAGAUUUGGUAUAUUUGCUGGCCAGAAAGCAAGGAACUGUUCUAACAAACUUUCUGAAUCUCUGAAAAAAACUCAUGAAAAGAAGAGUGAAGGAGGCAGAGUCCCGGAUAUUCUUAGCCAGACCCUCCAUGAGCUUGGCUGCCAUCUGACACAAACAUGUCAGCGGGGACGGAAGAUGAGCACGGGCCAUCCAGGAAACAGUUGAAAAUGUGGAAUUGAAUGUCAUAAAGAAGGUCAAGAUUGAAGACAGCCAGUUUGCAAUAAAGUACUAUUAAAAUGGAAACAUUAUUUCAAAGGUCUCCAAAUAUGUUC